RNAcentral lists this ribosomal RNA (897 nucleotides) under Niesslia exosporioides. Its description in RNAcentral is "LSU rRNA". It matches the Rfam family "Eukaryotic large subunit ribosomal RNA", at positions 37 to 965 of the family's 3401-position model. The record is from RNAcentral. Lineage: Eukaryota; Fungi; Ascomycota; Sordariomycetes; Hypocreales; Niessliaceae.
AGCAUAUCAAUAAGCGGAGGAAAAGAAACCAACAGGGAUUGCCCCCAGUAACGGCGAGUGAAGCGGCAACAGCUCAAAUUUGAAAUCUGGCCCCUAGGGUCCGAGCCUGUAAUUUGUAGAGGAUGCUUUUGGCGCGGCGCCUUCCGAGUUCCCUGGAACGGGACGCCAUAGAGGGUGAGAGCCCCGUCUGGUUGGAUGCCUAGCCUCUGUAAAGCUCCUUCGACGAGUCGAGUAGUUUGGGAAUGCUGCUCUAAAUGGGAGGUAUAUGUCUUCUAAAGCUAAAUACCGGCCAGAGACCGAUAGCGCACAAGUAGAGUGAUCGAAAGAUGAAAAGCACUUUGAAAAGAGGGUUAAAUAGUACGUGAAAUUGUUGAAAGGGAAGCGUUUGUGACCAGACUUGGGCUCGGUUGAUCAUCCAGCGUUUUCGCUGGUGCACUCUGCCGGCCCAGGCCAGCAUCAGUUCGCGCCGGGGGAUAAAGGCUUCGGGAAUGUGGCUCCUCGGAGUGUUAUAGCCCGUUGUGUAAUACCCUGGUGCGGACUGAGGUUCGCGCUCCGCAAGGAUGCUGGCGUAAUGGUCAUCAGCGACCCGUCUUGAAACACGGACCAAGGAGUCGUCUUCGUAUGCGAGUGUUCGGGUGUCAAACCCCUACGCGUAAUGAAAGUGAACGCAGGUGAGAGCUUCGGCGCAUCAUCGACCGAUCCUGAUGUUCUCGGAUGGAUUUGAGUAAGAGCAUACGGGGCCGGACCCGAAAGAAGGUGAACUAUGCCUGUAUAGGGUGAAGCCAGAGGAAACUCUGGUGGAGGCUCGCAGCGGUUCUGACGUGCAAAUCGAUCGUCAAAUAUGGGCAUGGGGGGCGAAAGACUAAUCGAACCUUCUAGUAGCUGGUUUCCGCCGAA